UGGGGAAUAUUGCACAAUGGGCGCAAGCCUGAUGCAGCCAUGCCGCGUGUAUGAAGAAGGCCUUCGGGUUGUAAAGUACUUUCAGCGGGGAGGAAGGUGUUGAGGCUAAUAACCUCAGCAAUUGACGUUACCCGCAGAAGAAGCACCGGCUAACUCCGUGCCAGCAGCCGCGGUAAUACGGAGGGUGCAAGCGUUAAUCGGAAUUACUGGGCGUAAAGCGCACGCAGGCGGUCUGUCAAGUCGGAUGUGAAAUCCCCGGGCGCAACCUGGGAACUGCAUUCGAAACUGGCAGGAUAGAGUCUUGUAGAGGGGGGUAGAAUUCCAGGUGUAGCGGUGAAAUGCGUAGAGAUCUGGAGGAAUACCGGUGGCGAAGGCGGCCCCCUGGACAAAGACUGACGCUCAGGUGCGAAAGCGUGGGGAGCAAACA
RNAcentral lists this ribosomal RNA (427 nucleotides) under uncultured bacterium. Its description in RNAcentral is "partial 16S ribosomal RNA". It matches the Rfam family "Bacterial small subunit ribosomal RNA", at positions 355 to 774 of the family's 1533-position model. The record is from RNAcentral.